CGUGGGCGGAGCCUCCGCCGAGCCGGGCGCCGCCCCGCCCCCUCGGCCCUGCCCCGCCCCGCCCCCUCGGCCCCUCAGGCCUGAGGGGUGUCGGGCCGGGCAAGGGACUCCUUCAGCAAUUGCGAUGACAGAGAGGCACGGUUGUUGCAAGGCAGGUCAUAUUUGGGAGGCCCUAACGUGGGGGGGGUGCGUAGAGGUGUAAUUGCGAUGAGCAAUGAGCACAUUGGACGUUUGUUGCAAGCAAAAUGUCUUGCUGUAGUAUUUGGGGGUUAAAGUAUGGGGCUGUCCGCUGAGGUUGCCGCAGGCCCACGGGUUGGGUGAGAGACGAGACAAGACGAGACGAGGGCUAAGUCCAGACAAGAAGCUGGAGGUUGAAUGGAUUCAGUCUGCACCGCAGUUGUCCUGGAAAAGCAAGGCUUAUGAACCUGAAGCGAGCUUUGUCAUUUCGGCGGUUCCCCCCUCGCAAGUUUGCUGACAACCCAGUGUUAUGUCGAGAGGCAUGAACUACUCCAUUCAGUGCAAUUUUAAGUGCCGAUGUUCCCAGUUGCUAUCAUGGGGCAUUUGACUUUGUUUCGCUGCUAAUCAAGCAGUGGAAAUUAGGUUUGUAUUCUGAAAAUCUGUAAACACAUCACCUUGUUUUGCCAGGGCGUCAUCAGCUACAGCAAGAAAGAGCUAAACUCUUAAGAGCCCAGCAGAGUAUAUGUGAUAGCAGUCUUGAACACAAGUGUUAUCUCAUGCUGAGGAGGACACCGGGGUUUGAGAAGGGCUAGGCCUGCUUUCCCUUACGUUGUGGGAAUGGACUGAAGAAGAAAUCUUGAGGACCUGCACCUCUUAACUACCUGCUUGAUACUUCUAUUUUAUUGCAGGAGCCAGAUCCUUUGUCUGGUAUGCACAAGCAUCAUCCUUCUGACUUCACCCGAACUACACCGAUUUAUACCAGCUGAGGAACUAACCCGUGAUGUAGGCUGUAGGAAUGGCUCAGCAGAAAAAAAAUCCACCUAGCCCAGAAACUGUUCUAGGCCUCUCUUGAACAUGCUGGAGAGCCAUGUUAUCAUAACCCAAAGCACCAACGUGAUGGGAUGUUGUUACUUUUAAUCAUUUACCUUUGAAAAAUCCCACUGGUUUAGACCUGACAGGCCACUCUGUGAGCUAUUGUAGCCUGAAGACUGGAAGAAUUUAAAUGGAUGUGGUGGGUUCUCCAUCACAUAAAAUCUUUAAAGCAAACCUGGAUACAUCCUUACAAGAGUUGUCAGAGCUCCAGCAGUGGUUAUGGCCCAGUACAGAAGUUAUUUGGUUCAGUAGCCUAUCAUGCCGGAGGUCAGACUAGAUGAUUAUGAUGGUCUUUCCGUCCUUAAAAACAAUGAAUCUGUUAAAUUAGUAGCUCCUUUGACAUGAAUGGAGCUCCUCUCAUUUAUACCUGCUGCAGGGCUAUACUUAGGAAUUCUCCUUUCCCUGGCAAGAACGUAACUAGCCAACUGGUAAAUAAGAUCUCAGAUGGACACAAGAAGGUAAUUAGCAAUGAGCUCUGUCUAACACAGCCCUUUGUAGGAGAUCAUGAAAUAAAAACUUAGACAAAUAAAUUAUUGAUGUGGCCUGGAACAAAUGGAUAAAUGUAACCCAUAAGGACAUUCACAGCCACUGUUAAUAACCUGUCAGACUUAAUUUAGGAGAAAGGAUCCACUAUGACCACAGGACUUAAAUCUGCUUGGCAGCUCCUUAAUUCAGCACCAGCCCUAUCUCAAGGAAUAGCAUGGAAACAAACAGUUUCCUUACUACAGCUGUGGAUUUAAGGUUUCUGUAGUUGUUAUUGGGGAGGUCCUUUGAGAAGGGAUAUUUAGAAGCUGUCCUUCAGUUUUAAAUAUUUAAGGACAGGCCUGGAAAAAUAAGAGUCUUGGAAGAAUUAUACUGUAUACAUAUUGGAAGAAUUAUAUUUUAGAAAACAAUCUACAGGAAGCUGGAGUAGGUGAUAUAAUGGAUCUUUCUCAUUCUUUCCACAGCUGGGGGUAGCACUAGUCUCUCCCCCAACUGAGCAAUACAAAGUACUUAUAUUUUAUCAUGUUGAACAGCUAAUUGUGGUUUAGUUUAAGGUAAAUUAGGGAAAGACACUCUUUAUUUGAGCAUAAAAGUGUAAUUAUUAGACAGUUAUUACUGAAGGCAGAAUUAAACCUGAUAUAUCAUGACUAAGGCGGGGUUAGCAUUUUUUCUUGUUUUGUGGGGAAUUUAUAUGAAAAUAAGGAGGAAAAAAACAUUGACACUAAUUCCAACUUUUUGGAUGAAAAACCAAACUCCUGAAUUUUUUAGCCAAAAAGCAGGGGGUGAGGAGAAUGAAGACUUGAGAAGCAAUUUUUUUCGUGCAGCUUUGAAGCUUGGGAACCUGACUUGUAAAGAGGAAAGGUACCUGACUUACUGCUCCCUUGAGGCAUAAAGUAUUUGACCAAAAGUUAACAGUGCUUUUAUCUAAAAACUGUCAUUUGAUUAAAAAAAAAAAACAACCAAACAUUUCCUGUGAUUUUGGUGAUUACUUUCUUUUAGAAAGUUUGGUCAAGUUGAAAUCCAAAUUUCUAUCAGUGGAAAAAAACAAGAGUUUCAACUAAAAAUUGUCAACUAGUCUCUAUUUAACUCUGCAUUCAAAAAGAAGAGAAAAAAAGAGCUUUCCUGGUGCUAUGGAGGAAUAUUAUGGCCCAGUGCAUCUGAUUUACUAGUGAAAUCACCUUGUCGGAGCAUUUGCACUCGUGCAACGGGAUCUGAUAGUGUUCGUACUCUUACGUCCCACCCACUCUGUUUCAUGGCAAUGGCUGUGCAAACUUCAGAGCAGUAACGCUGUGCAUUAGGCCUUGUGACUUCCUUCCCAUGCUUGAAAACCUGAAAGUGAAAAUAAAAGGUCCCAGAAGCAUUGGGCACAGCAGUUCACUUUGUGCGGCUUUCAGUCAUCAGAGCAUUGCUAUUUAAGGAUGACUGAUCCUCUUAAAUUUCCAGAUUAUGCAUGCUAAAAGAAUGCUUCUCCUUUGUUUGAGAUGCCACGCUGUAAUGCAAACACCCCCACAAUUAAUAUGCUCUUGAAUCUUCUUUAUGUCUCCAGAUAAAUUGACACUAAUGUGGAAAUUAUGAAAACCAGGUCCCUGCAUCUUCGUGUACUUCAACUUUGAAAGUAUGAAUAUCACAUUACAGUGAUGAUCCAGCUCCUCUGUGACACUGUCAGAGGGAAUUAAGGCUGAAAUUCUUAGCUGAGGGGGUGGUAUCUUCAAGUACGCAGUGUUUCAACUUUACAGUGAUUAUUUUUAGUCAAGUAGAGCCUGCAGGCCCCAUAUGAGAUCAGGACUCUAUUCUGUUAAGGGCUGUGCACACAUAUAAUUCCACCCACAGAAUUAAUUAUAAGAA
Molecule: long non-coding RNA, 3378 nt
Organism: Alligator mississippiensis (American alligator)
Lineage: Eukaryota; Metazoa; Chordata; Crocodylia; Alligatoridae
Exons: 3
Source: RefSeq, a predicted model, not a curated record